UGUGGUGGAUUNCGGCCCGUAUAACGUUAAUGAUUACUAGAUGAUGUUUCCAAAGAGUCGUGUUGCUUGAUAGUGCAGCACUAAGUGGGUGGUAAACUCCAUCUAAAACUAAAUAUAACCAUGAGACCGAUAGUAAACAAGUACCGUGAGGGAAAGUUGAAAAGAACUCUGAAUAGAGAGUUAAACAGUACGUGAAACUGCUUAGAGGUUAAGCCCGAUGAACCUGAAUAUCCGUUAUGGAAAAUUCAUCAUUAAAAUUGUAAUAUUUAAAUAAUAUUAUUAAGAAUAAUGUGCAUUUUUUCCAUAUAAGGACAUUGUAAUCUAUUAGCAUAUCCCAAAUUUAUCAUAAAAUAUAACUUAUAGUUUAUUCCAAUUAAAUUGCUUGCAUUUUAACACAGAAUAAAUGUUAUUAAUUUGAUAAAGUGCUGAUAGAUUUAUAUUAUUACAGAGCGUUAAUUUUUCGGAAUUAUAUAAUGGCAUAAUUAUCAUUGAUUUUUGUGUUUAUUAUAUGCUCUUGUAUGAUUAACAAUGCGAAAGAUUCAGGAUACCUUCGGGACCCGUCUUGAAACACGGACCAAGGAGUCUAACAUAUGUGCAAGUUAUUGGGAUGUAAACCUAAUAGCGUAAUUAACUUGACUAAUAAUGGGAUUAGUUUUUUAGCUAUUUAUAGCUAAUUAACACAAUCCCGGGGCGUUCUAUAUAGUUAUGUAUAAUGUAUAUUUAUAUUAUUUAUGCCUCUAACUGGAACGUACCUUGAGCAUAUAUGCUGUGACCCGAAAGAUGGUGAACUAUACUUGAUCAGGUUGAAGUCAGGGGAAACCCUGAUGGAAGACCGAAACAGUUCUGACGUGCAAAUCGAUUGUCAGAAUUGAGUAUAGGGGCGAAAGACCAAUCGAACCAUCUAGUAGCUGGUUCCUUCCGAAGUUUCCCUCAAGAUAGCUGGUGCAUUUUAAUAUAUAUAAAAUAAUCUUAUCUGGUAAAGCGAAUGAUUAGAGGCCUUAGGGUCCAAACGAUCUUACCCAUUCUCAAACUUAAAUGGGUAAAAACCUUAACUUUCUGGAAAGAAAUUUCAGGGUAUGAAAAAAGG
Molecule: non-coding RNA, 1087 nt
Filed under: Drosophila simulans
Lineage: Eukaryota; Metazoa; Arthropoda; Insecta; Diptera; Drosophilidae
Description: Eukaryotic large subunit ribosomal RNA
Rfam family: Eukaryotic large subunit ribosomal RNA
Source: Rfam by way of RNAcentral